AGAGAGAGAGCGAGAACAGACCAAUAGUCAGGUACUCUGGAGACAGAGAGAGAGAGCGAGAACAGACCAAUAGUCAGGUACUCUGGAGAGAGAGAGAGCGAGAACAGAUCAAUAGUCAGGUACUCUGAGAGAGAGAGAGAGAGAGAGCGAGAACAGACCAAUAGUCAGGUACUCUGGAGAGAGAGAGAGAGCGAGAACAGACCAAUAGUCAGGUACUCUGGAGAGAGAGAGAGCGCGAGAACAGACCAAUAGUCAGGUACUCUGGAGAGAGAGAGAGAGCGAGAACAGACCAAUAGUCAGGUACUCUGGAGAGAGAGAGAGAGCGAGAACAGACCAAUAGUCAGGUACUCUGGAGAGAGAGAGAGCGCGAGAACAGACCAAUAGUCAGGUACUCUGGAGAGAGAGAGAGAGAGAGAACAGACCAAUAGUCAGGUACUCUGGAGAGAGAGAGAGAGCGAGAACAGACCAAUAGUCAGGUACUCUGGAGAGAGAGAGAGCGCGAGAACAGACCAAUAGUCAGGUACUCUGGAGAGAGAGAGAGAGCGAGAACAGACCAAUAGUCAGGUACUCUGGAGAGAGAGAGAGAGCGAGAACAGAACAAUAGUCAGGUACUCUGGAGAGAGAGAGAGAGAGAGCGAGAACAGACCAAUAGUCAGGUACUCUGGAGAGAGAGAGAGAGAGCGAGAACAGAACAAUAGUCAGGUACUCUGGAGACAGAGAGAGAGAGCGAGAACAGACCAAUAGUCAGGUACUCUGGAGACAGAGAGAGCGAGAACAGACCAAUAGUCAGGUACUCUGGAGAGAGAGAGAUAUGACAGCAUUCCCUCCCCCAUCUGCCCCCCUAGACAAUCUACCACAACAUAACCAACAAAAACAGGGCACAACUCCUGCAGCUCUGUCACACGCUGGGUAUGUACAUAGUCAAUGGUAGACUUCGAAGAGACUCCUAUGGUAGGUACACCUAUAGCUCAUCUCUUGGCAGUAGUACUGUAGACUACUUUAUCACUGACCUCAACCCAGAGUCUCUCAGAGCGUUCACAGUCAGCCCACUGACACCCCUAUCAGACCACAGCAAAAUCACAGUCUACUUGAACAGAGCAAUACUCAAAUCAUGAGGCAUCAAAGCCAAAGGAACUGAAUAAUAUUAAGAAAUGCUAUAGAUGGAAGGAAAGUAGGUUGAAAAGAUACCAAAAAACAAUUAGGCAACAACAAACUCAUUCCCUUUUAUACAACUUCCUGGACAAAACGUUUACACUAGGUCUAAACUUGGCAUUAGAAAACCUAAACAAUAUAUAAUAUCACUCAUCGUCUCUGUCUCUGUCUCUCUCUCUCUGUCUCUCUCUCUGUCUCUCUGUCUGUCUCUCUCUCUGUCUCUCUCUCUGUCUCUCUCUCUCCUAGGACUACCUGGCAUGAUGACUCCUUGCUGUCCCCAGUCCACCUGACCAUGCUGCUGCUCCAGUUUCAACUGUUCUGCCUGCGGCUAUGGAAUCCUGACCUAUUCACCGGACGUGCUACCUGUCCCAGACCUGCUGUUUUCAACGCUUUAGAGUUGGGCCUUCCUAGGGAGUUUUUCCUAGCCACCGUGCUUCUACACCUGCAUUGCUUGCUGUUUGGGGUCUUAGGCUGGGUUUCUGUACAGCACUUUGAGAUAUCAGCUGAUAUAUCGGCUAUAUAAAUACAUUUGAUUUGAUGGGGGAAAACAUACAUUAUAAAAUUAGUGUCAAAAAACACACAUUUCUUUCCACAGGGCCGUGAGGUGAGACAGGGAUGCAGCUUAAGCCCCACCCUCUUCAACAUGUAUUACAACGAAUUGGCGCAAGCACUACAACAGUCUGCAGCACCCAGCCUCACCCUACUAUAAUCUGAAGUCAAAUGUCUACUGUUUGCUGAUGAUCUGGUACUUCUGUCACCAACCAAGGAGGGCCUACAGCAGCACCUAGAUCUUAUGCACAGAUUCUGCCAGACCUGGGCCCUGACAGUAAAUCUCAGUAAGACAAAAAUAAUGGUGUUUGAAACAUGGUCAAGUUGCCAGGACAACAAAUACAAAUUCCAUCUAGACACUGUUGCCCUGGAGCACACAAACAACUAUACAUACCUCGGCCUAAACAUCAGCGCUCUAGAGCACACAAACAACUAUACAUACCUCGGCCUAAACGUCAGCGCUCUAGAGCACACAAACAACUAUACAUACCUCGGCCUAAACAUCAGCGCCACAGGUCAUUUCCACAAAGCAGCUAACGAUCUGGGACAAGGCAAGAAGGGCCUUCUAUGCCAUCAAAAGGAACAUCAAAUUCGACAUAGCAAUUAGAAUUUGGCUAAAAAUACGAAUCGGUUAUAGAACCCAUUGCCCUUUAUGGUUGUGAGGUCUGGGGUCCGCUCACCAACCAAAAAUUCACAAAAUGGGACAAACACCAAAUUGAGAGUCUGCAUGCAGAGGGCAGCAAAAAUAUUCUCAGUGUGAGAAUGAAGAGCAGAAUAAGGCCGAUACCCGCUAAUUAUUAAAAUCCAGAAAAUAGCCAUUCAAUUCUACAACCACCUAAAAGAAGUGAUUCCCAAAACUUCCAUAACAAAGCCAUCACCUACAGAGAGAUGAACCUGGAUAAGAGUACCCGAAGCAAGCUGGUCCUGGGGCUCCGUUCACAAACACAAACAGACCCCACAGAGCCCCAGGACAGCAACACAAUUAGACCCAACCAAAUCACGAGAAAACAAAAAGAUAAUUAUUUCCAAUGUGUCAUGUAAUUAACAAAAAAGCUGAGCAAACUAGAAUGCUAUUUGUCCCUAAACUGAGAGUACACAGUGGUAGAAUACCUGACCACUGUGACUGACCCAAACAUAAGGACCUUGACUAUGUACAGACUCAGUGAGAAUAGCCUUGCUACUGAGAAAGACCGCCGUAGGCAGACCUGGCUCUCAAGAGAAGGCAGGCUAUGUGCUCACUGCCCACAAAAUGAGGUGGAAACUGAGCUGCACUUCCUAACCUCCUUCCCAAUGUAUGACCAUAUUAGAGACACAUAUUUCCCUCAGAUUACACAGAUCCACAAAGAAUUGGAGAAAAAAUAUCCAACUUUGAUAAACUUCAAUAUCUAUUGGGUGAAAUACCACUAACACCUCUGUCUGAUCACAGCCAAAUUACAUUGUUCCUCAAAAUAACAAACAUGGCAACAACCACACAUCCACAGCCCAGUCAGCUGUACAACAUCACAGCCCAGUCAGCUGUACAACACCAGACAUCCACAGCCCAGUCAGCUGUACAACAUCAGACAUCCACAGCCCAGUCAGCUGUACAACAUCACAGCCCAGUCAGCUGUACAACAUCACAGCCCAGUCAGCUGUACAACAUCACAGCCAAGUCAGCUGU
Long non-coding RNA from Oncorhynchus tshawytscha (Chinook salmon), 3361 nucleotides. NCBI's taxonomy places the organism in Eukaryota, Metazoa, Chordata, Actinopteri, Salmoniformes, Salmonidae. The record is from Ensembl.